UCAAGCUAUAAAGAGCAUAGGGUGGAUGCCUUGGCACCAAGAGCCGAAGAAGGACGUGGUCAGCUGCGAUAAGCCAUGGUCAGCCGCAAGCAGGCAAUGACCCAUGGAUUUCCGAAUGCGGAAACGCGGCACGUUAACAGCGUGUCAUCAUGUCAUGAAUAAAUAGUGACAUGAGGGGAACCCGGUGAACUGAAACAUCUAAGUAGCCGGAGGAAGAGAAAGAAACAUCGAUUUCCUUAGUAGCGGCGAGCGAAAGGGAAAGAGCCCAAACCGAGGGUCUACGGACGUUCGGGGUUCGGACUUGCAAAAAUCGAAGUACUUAUAGACGAAGAGGUUUGGAAUUUCCUACCAAAGAGGGUAACAGUCCCGUAGUCGAAAUGAGUACAAGAGGGCGAGAAUCCAGAGUACCACAGGACACGAGUAAUCCGGUGGGAAGACGGGGGGCCCACCCCCCAAGGCUAAAUACUACUUGGUGACCGAUAGCGUAUAGUACCGUGAGGGAAAGGUGAAAAGAACCCCGGGAGGGGAGUGAAAGAGUACCUGAAACCCUAUGUUUACAAGCAGUGGGAGCGAGAGCGACCAUGUACUUUUUGUAGAACGGGCCGGCGAGUUACUGUGUGCAGCGAGGUUAAGUUGUUAAGCAACGGAGCCGAAGGGAUACCGAGUCUGAAAAGGGCGUAAAGUUGCAUGCAGUACACCCGAAACCGGGUGACCUAUCCAUGGACAGGAUGAAGCGGCGGUAAGACGCCGUGGAGGUCCGAACCACACGUAUGUUGAAAAAUGCGGGGAUGAGCUGUGGAUAGCGGAGAAAUUCCAAUCGAACUCGGAGAUAGCUGGUUCUCCCCGAAAUAGCUUUAGGGCUAGCCUCAUAUUAGAUACCCGGAGGUAAAGCACUGAAUGGCCUAGCGCCCGAGAGGGUAGCGAAGCCUAUCAAACUAAGAAUGCCGGAGUAUUGAUGUAUGGGAGUCAGACAGUGUGAGAUAAAUCUCAUUGUCAAAAGGGAAACAGCCCAGAUCUACAGCUAAGGUCCCAAAUUGUAUCUAAGUGGAAAACGAUGUGGAAAUACGCAGACAACCAGGAUGUUGGCUCAGAAGCAGCCACUCAUUUAAAGAGUGCGUAAUAGCUCACUGGUCGAGCGUCUCUGCGCGGAAAAUUUAACGGGGCUAAGAUACAAACCGAAGCUUAGGCUGCAUCGUAAGAUGCGGGGUAGGGGAGCGUUGUGUAAGCGGAGAAACAGUAGCGUAAGCGGCUGUGGAGUUUACAGAAGUGAGAAUGCCGGAAUGAGUAGCGCGAAUGUGGUGAGAAUCCACAUGGCCGGAAACCUCAGGUUUUUGGAGGAAGGUUCGUCCGCUCCAAGUUAGGCGGGAGCUAAGGUCAGGCCGAAAGGCGUAGCCGAUGCACAGACGGUAGAGAUUCCGUCCCCACCGAAAGAUUUAAGCACAGGGACACUUUUUGAAGGUCGGAGCCAGGUGUUGGUUCUGGUAGUGAUCGAGGGAAAUUUAGUACCGAAGUCUGGCUGGAUAAGAGGCGAGAAAAGCUGUGUGUAUAUCUAAGGUGCCCGUACCGCAAACCGACACAGGUAGGUAGGAAGAAGAUUCUAAGGCCAACGGGAGAAGGGUUGUUAAGGAACUCGGCAAGUUGACCCCGUAACUUCGGAAUAAGGGGUGCUCACGAGAGUGAGCCGCAGAGAAUAGGCCCAGGCAACUGUUUACCAAAAACACAGGUUUGUGCUAAAUCGAAAGAUGACGUAUACGAGCUGACGCCUGCCCGGUGCUGGAAGGUUAAGAGGAGAUGUGCAAGCAUUGAAUCGAAGCCCCAGUGAACGGCGGCCGUAACUAUAACGGUCCUAAGGUAGCGAAAUUCCUUGUCAGGUAAGUUCUGACCCGCAUGAAAGGCGUAAUGAUUUGGGCACUGUCUCAACAGCCCGCCCGGCGAAAUUGUAGUACCGGUGAAGAUGCCGGUUACCCGCGACAAGACGGAAAGACCCCAUGGAGCUUUACUGUAGCCUAAUAUUGGGUUUCGAUGUUGCAUGCACAGGAUAGAUGGGACACUGGGAAGCAAGAGCUUUGGCGUUUGUGGAGUGGCCGUUGGGAUACCAUCCUUGCGAUAUUGGAAUUCUAACCUGCGCCUUUGAAUCAAGGCGGGGGACAUUGUUAGGUGGGCAGUUUGACUGGGGCGGUCGCCUCCUAAAGAGUAACGGAGGCGUUCAAAGGUUCGCUCAGCUUGAACGGAAAUCAAGCAAAAGAGUGCAAACGCAGAAGCGAGCCUAACUGCGAGACUGACGGGUCGAGCAGUAACGAAAGUUGGAGUUAG
Molecule: ribosomal RNA, 2313 nt
Filed under: human gut metagenome
Description: bacterial LSU rRNA
Rfam family: Bacterial large subunit ribosomal RNA
Source: RNAcentral